Paramormyrops kingsleyae is the source of this 430-nucleotide long non-coding RNA. RefSeq lists it as uncharacterized. Lineage: Eukaryota; Metazoa; Chordata; Actinopteri; Osteoglossiformes; Mormyridae. The record is from RefSeq and is a predicted model, not a curated record.
GUCGUUUACCCACAAUGCUUUGCAACAUUAUACAAAAGGGAAGCGUGCCGUGAACGUUUCUCUUUUGUGACUGUCGCUAUUUAGUUGGUCAUGUGAAGUUUUGUGGUAACGGUUAACUUUUUUUUAAAAAUUCAGGCAGAUAAUUUCCGCACUAUGGCGCAAACUAGAGGGAUUUUUAUUUUGUGCUUUGACAAAUGGUCGUGAAUGCUGUACCGCCGUGCUUACUCAAGAAGUAUUGCACCGAGUACCAUGGCGGGCUAUUCCUAAACAAUUUACAUGAAUGUGUUCUGCUGGAUGGAUUAAGCAGUGGAAGGAAGCCAGAUCAACCGGGGUAUGAUGAGGGGCAGUUUUUUCUCCCAAAUAUGGAUCAUGGAGGUCAAUUUUGCUGACUAAUCUUUUUGUGUAUGUUAAUAAAAUAUUUUUAUUUCAA